ACAAUGGAGAGUUUGAUCCUGGCUCAGGAUUAACGCUGUCGGCGUGCCUAAUACAUGCAAGUCGAAUGGU
RNAcentral lists this ribosomal RNA (70 nucleotides) under Candidatus Avacholeplasma faecigallinarum. RNAcentral describes it as "partial 16S ribosomal RNA". It matches the Rfam family "Bacterial small subunit ribosomal RNA", at positions 1 to 70 of the family's 1533-position model. The record is from RNAcentral.